Molecule: ribosomal RNA, 2990 nt
Filed under: Erwinia amylovora
Lineage: Bacteria; Pseudomonadati; Pseudomonadota; Gammaproteobacteria; Enterobacterales; Erwiniaceae
Description: 23S ribosomal RNA
Rfam family: Bacterial large subunit ribosomal RNA
Source: RNAcentral
GGUUAAGCGACUAAGCGUACACGGUGGAUGCCCAGGCAGUCAGAGGCGAUGAAGGGCGUGCUAAUCUGCGAUAAGCGUCGGUAAGGUGAUAUGAACCGCAACAACCGACGAUACCCGAAUGGGGAAACCCAGUGCAAUCCGUUGCACUAUCAUGUCAUGAAUACAUAGUGGCAUGAGGCGAACCGGGGGAACUGAAACAUCUAAGUACCCCGAGGAAAAGAAAUCAACCGAGAUUCCCCAGUAGCGGCGAGCGAACGGGGAACAGCCCAGAACCUGAAUCAGUUUGUGCCUUAGUGGAAGCGUCUGGAAAGUCGCGCAGUAAAGGGUGACAGCCCCGUACACAAAAAGGCACUUGCUGUGAGUUCGAUGAGUAGGGCGGGACACGUGACAUCCUGUCUGAAUAUGGGGGGACCAUCCUCCAAGGCUAAAUACUCCUGACUGACCGAUAGUGAACCAGUACCGUGAGGGAAAGGCGAAAAGAACCCCGGCGAGGGGAGUGAAACAGAACCUGAAACCGUGUACGUACAAGCAGUGGGAGCACCUUCGUGGUGUGACUGCGUACCUUUUGUAUAAUGGGUCAGCGACUUAUAUUCUGUAGCAAGGUUAACCGUAUAGGGGAGCCGCAGGGAAACCGAGUCUUAACUGGGCGUUAAGUUGCAGGGUAUAGACCCGAAACCCGGUGAUCUAGCCAUGGGCAGGUUGAAGGUUGGGUAACACUAACUGGAGGACCGAACCGACUAAUGUUGAAAAAUUAGCGGAUGACCUGUGGCUGGGGGUGAAAGGCCAAUCAAACCGGGAGAUAGCUGGUUCUCCCCGAAAGCUAUUUAGGUAGCGCCUCGUGAAUUCAUCUCCGGGGUAGAGCACUGUUUCGGCUAGGGGCCAUCCCGGCUUACCAACCCGAUGCAAACUGCGAAUACCGGAGAAUGUUAUCACGGGAGACACACGGCGGGUGCUAACGUCCGUCGUGAAGAGGGAAACAACCCAGACCGCCAGCUAAGGUCCCAAAGUCAUGGUUAAGUGGGAAACGAUGUGGGAAGGCACAGACAGCCAGGAUGUUGGCUUAGAAGCAGCCAUCAUUUAAAGAAAGCGUAAUAGCUCACUGGUCGAGUCGGCCUGCGCGGAAGAUGUAACGGGGCUAAACCAUGCACCGAAGCUGCGGCAGCGGACGUAUCACCCAAGCAGAUUCACUGAAGUGGAUAACGAUUGACGGAGCGCAGCGACGUCAAUGCGCCAUCAAAGUCGAGUCGACUUCGGGAUACGUCCGUUGGGUAGGGGAGCGUUCUGUAAGCCGUCGAAGGUGUGCUGUGAGGCAUGCUGGAGGUAUCAGAAGUGCGAAUGCUGACAUAAGUAACGAUAAAGCGGGUGAAAAGCCCGCUCGCCGGAAGACCAAGGGUUCCUGUCCAACGUUAAUCGGGGCAGGGUGAGUCGACCCCUAAGGCGAGGCCGAAAGGCGUAGUCGAUGGGAAACGGGUUAAUAUUCCCGUACUGGGUGUUACUGCGAAGGGGGGACGGAGAAGGCUAUGUUAGCCGGGCGACGGUUGUCCCGGUUUAAGCGUGCAGGCUUGAGUUCCAGGCAAAUCCGGAACUCUUUAAGGCUGAGGCGUGAUGACGAGGCACCACGGUGCUGAAGUAACAAAUGCCCUGCUUCCAGGAAAAGCCUCUAAGCAUCAGGUAACAUCCAAUCGUACCCCAAACCGACACAGGUGGUCAGGUAGAGAAUACCAAGGCGCUUGAGAGAACUCGGGUGAAGGAACUAGGCAAAAUGGUGCCGUAACUUCGGGAGAAGGCACGCUGGCGCGUAGGUGAAGCGACUUGCUCGUGGAGCUGAAGCCAGUCGAAGAUACCAGCUGGCUGCAACUGUUUAUUAAAAACACAGCACUGUGCAAACACGAAAGUGGACGUAUACGGUGUGACGCCUGCCCGGUGCCGGAAGGUUAAUUGAUGGGGUUAUCCGUAAGGAGAAGCUCUUGAUCGAAGCCCCGGUAAACGGCGGCCGUAACUAUAACGGUCCUAAGGUAGCGAAAUUCCUUGUCGGGUAAGUUCCGACCUGCACGAAUGGCGUAAUGAUGGCCAGGCUGUCUCCACCCGAGACUCAGUGAAAUUGAACUCGCUGUGAAGAUGCAGUGUACCCGCGGCAAGACGGAAAGACCCCGUGAACCUUUACUACAGCUUGACACUGAACAUUGAGCCUUGAUGUGUAGGAUAGGUGGGAGGCUUUGAAGCGUGGACGCCAGUCUGCGUGGAGCCAACCUUGAAAUACCACCCUUUAACGUUUGAUGUUCUAACCUGGCGCCGUAAUCCGGCGUGGGGACAGUGUCUGGUGGGUAGUUUGACUGGGGCGGUCUCCUCCCAAAGAGUAACGGAGGAGCACGAAGGUCAGCUAAUCACGGUCGGACAUCGUGAGGUUAGUGCAAUGGCAUAAGCUGGCUUGACUGCGAGAGUGACGGCUCGAGCAGGUGCGAAAGCAGGUCAUAGUGAUCCGGUGGUUCUGAAUGGAAGGGCCAUCGCUCAACGGAUAAAAGGUACUCCGGGGAUAACAGGCUGAUACCGCCCAAGAGUUCAUAUCGACGGCGGUGUUUGGCACCUCGAUGUCGGCUCAUCACAUCCUGGGGCUGAAGUAGGUCCCAAGGGUACGGCUGUUCGCCGUUUAAAGUGGUACGCGAGCUGGGUUUAGAACGUCGUGAGACAGUUCGGUCCCUAUCUGCCGUGGGCGCUGGAAGAUUGAGAGGGGUUGCUCCUAGUACGAGAGGACCGGAGUGAACGCACCGCUGGUGUUCGGGUUGUCAUGCCAAUGGCAUUGCCCGGUAGCUAAGUGCGGAAAAGAUAAGCGCUGAAAGCAUCUAAGCGCGAAACUUGCCUCGAGAUGAAUCUUCCCUGACUCCUUGAGAGUCCUGAAGGGACGUUGAAGACGACGACGUUGAUAGGCCGGGUGUGUAAGCGCAGCGAUGCGUUGAGCUAACCGGUACUAAUGACCCGUGAGGCUUAACCUU